AUACGUAGGUGGCGAGCGUUGUCCGGAAUUACUGGGUGUAAAGGGCGUGUAGGCGGGGAGGCAAGUCAGAUGUGAAAUUCCCAGGCUUAACCUGGGCGCUGCAUCUGAAACUGCUUUUCUUGAGUACUGGAGAGGAAAGUGGAAUUCCUAGUGUAGCGGUGAAAUGCGUAGAGAUUAGGAGGAACACCAGUGGCGAAGGCGGCUUUCUGGACAGUAACUGACGCUGAGGCGCGAAAGCGUGGGGAGCAAACAGGAUUAGAUACCCUGGUAGUCCACGCUGUAAACGAUGGAUACUAGGUGUGGGAGGUAUCGACCCCUUCCGUGCCGGAGUUAACACAAUAAGUAUCCCACCUGGGGAGUACGGCCGCAAGGCUGAA
Molecule: ribosomal RNA, 377 nt
Filed under: uncultured bacterium
Lineage: Bacteria
Description: bacterial SSU rRNA
Rfam family: Bacterial small subunit ribosomal RNA
Source: RNAcentral